Molecule: long non-coding RNA, 209 nt
Filed under: Elaeis guineensis (African oil palm)
Lineage: Eukaryota; Viridiplantae; Streptophyta; Magnoliopsida; Arecales; Arecaceae
Description: long non-coding RNA (EGUI_LNC033048)
Source: RNAcentral
UAAUUAUUAGGUGAUGGAUCCAAUGAUGACUUUACAUCUGCUGGUGAACGAUGGGUCUAACUUAACUAAGAAAUAUAUCAAUAAUUAUUAGGUGAGGCCACAAGACUUAGAGAUCGAUGUCGCUGCAUCUUGCUUAGUAAAUCAAUGAAAAAAGAGUUAUCCACUCAUUGGUCUAUAUAUCACCAAUAACUGUUAGGUAAGAUGCGUGU